Non-coding RNA from Marasmius fiardii PR-910, 90 nucleotides. NCBI's taxonomy places the organism in Eukaryota, Fungi, Basidiomycota, Agaricomycetes, Agaricales, Marasmiaceae. The record is from the annotation of a GenBank genome assembly.
ACACCGUUGGUGAAGUGGUUAUCAUGCUUGCCUUCCAUAUUUGUCUAUCAGUAAUAGCAAGCGGCUCGGGUUCGAUUCCCGAACGGUGUA